CUCGACAAGGGCAAACCGGCCGUGAGGUCGAGACGCAAAGCCAUGGGUCUCAUCGGGAGAUCGCCAGGCUGCCGAAG
This 77-nucleotide non-coding RNA is filed under the name Planctomycetota bacterium. RNAcentral's name for it is "Planctomycetes bacterium c-di-GMP sequence". It matches the Rfam family "c-di-GMP-I-GGC riboswitch aptamer". Lineage: Bacteria; Pseudomonadati; Planctomycetota. The record is from RNAcentral.